UGAAGUAUCAAAUAAUUGUAAAGAAUGAUUUCAUAAUCAUUUUGUAGUGAAUUCAGGAAGUAGGCCCGUCCGGGACUCAAACCAGGGUCCGGUAACUGUCAAGCCAAGACUUUAAUGGUAACGCCAAGAGGUCUGGGUUAAGGUUACUAUAUUACCACCUUCCUUCAGGAGAGUGUCCCCACACUUCUCUAUACCAAGUCUCUCUCAUGUGUACACGCCUCUCCGAUGGCCUCACGGGUACCAUCCCAAUUCACUAGGUGUGGGUUAAGGUCUCCUACAAUAUCGAUUUUCAAGUAUGUUUUCAUAUUUCAUACACACACAGCCUAAAGCACAUGGUAUCUAAUGUUACAAAUAUAUCCAGCCAGGGUCAAUUACUUAUUUUGUAAUUUGUUUGAAUAGCUUUUUGUGUGUUUGUUUUCUUGACAUGAAGGACUUGUGGUGGUUUGAUAUGAAGAACAUGAAGGACUUGAGGUGGUUUGAUAUGAAGAACAUGAAGGACUUGAGGUUGUUUGAUAUGAAGCACUUGAGGUGGUUUGAUAUGAAGGACUUGAGGUGGUUUGAUAUGAAGGACAAUAGGUGGUUUGAUAUGAAGGACAAUAGGUGGUUUGAUAUGAAAUACAUGAGGUGGUUUGAUAUGAAGGACAAGAGGUGGUUUGAUAUGAAGGACAAGAGGUGGUUUGAUAUGAAGGACAUGAGGUGGUUUGAUAUGAAGGACAAGAGGUGGUUUGAUAUGAAGGACUCACAUACAACCAAACUUUAUUUAGAUCAUGCUGGAUUAAUCUGAUUCUGUUCAUACUGUACUAGGCUACCUAAGGUCUAGUAUGCACUAAUGCAGUGGUUCCCAACCAUUCUUUUGUUACUGUACCACCAACUGAAUUUUGCUCUGCCUGGAGUACCCCUGAAGUACCCCCUCGUGUAUUUUACCAGUAGGGCUAUGGGCUCAUGAGUCUUCUCAAGUACCCCUGUGGAUAGACCAGGUACCCCCAGGGGUCCUAGUACCACUGGUUGGGAACCACUGCAGUAAUGAACUCUUAAAGUGGAUGUGAAUGAAGGAUAUGCCAGCAUGUACAUUAGCUAGUGUUGAGAUUUUAAGAUACUAUUUUAAAUGUAAAAAGAAAAAAAAAAAACAUCUGCAUUUUGUACUGCAAUGUACGUACUCGCACGCACACUCACUCAGGAAUUACAUACGACGUUAAUACACCUUUGUUACAUAUUUAUUGUGGAUAAUAUAUUUACUAUUUAGUCACGAUCUCAACAUCUCUGUUUUGAAUGGACAAUGCCUACUGGCAUCAUUGUUUACAGUCUGCUAAAAGUUUACUUCAGAGAUGUAUAUGAAGAAAAAACAUCUACAAUAUUGUAAAUAAAUGUGUAAAUAUGUAAUUUGGUUUACUUUGUGUUUUAUUUUCACUUAACAAUAACAGAUAUGGUGAAGAAAGCUAAAUACAUCUAAAAUGUUAAAUACAUCUUAAAUAAAAUAAAAUGUUAUUGGUCAC
RNAcentral lists this long non-coding RNA (1493 nucleotides) under Salmo salar (Atlantic salmon). Its description in RNAcentral is "lncRNA (ENSSSAG00000083807.1)". Lineage: Eukaryota; Metazoa; Chordata; Actinopteri; Salmoniformes; Salmonidae. The record is from RNAcentral.